Gadus morhua (Atlantic cod) is the source of this 452-nucleotide long non-coding RNA. RefSeq lists it as uncharacterized. The transcript has 3 exons. Lineage: Eukaryota; Metazoa; Chordata; Actinopteri; Gadiformes; Gadidae. The record is from RefSeq and is a predicted model, not a curated record.
UAGUUUCGCAACUGAAUAUUCAUGACUUUCCUGUUUUGUUGCAGAUUAAGGCAGAAGAGUUGAAAUUUUUCGACCCUCAAUUAAAGUAAGGUCGCUCCCGGAGAAACAACAAAGAGUUUCAUCAAACAUUAUGGCUCCUUGGAACAUCAUAAGAUAUUUCUGAAGGUCAAGAAAAGUCUGUGACUGCAGUUUGAUGGUUGAAGCCCAAACAAACCUGACAACCAUGUUUCUACAAUUCAUAUUAAUUAUUAGUACUUGUUACUUUGGCGUUGCUUCAUCUUCAUAUUGUCCACUGAAUGAAUACAGAGCAGGAACGGAGUGUUGCCCAUCAUGUCCGCCUGGUAAAUAUCUGAACUGUUGUCACGCUGUUUGACUCUACAACGUAUACUAUCUACAAAUAAACAUAUACAGGAUAUACAGUUUACAAAUCUACAUAAAGACGGUCAACAAAU